Molecule: ribosomal RNA, 425 nt
Filed under: uncultured bacterium
Lineage: Bacteria
Description: partial 16S ribosomal RNA
Rfam family: Bacterial small subunit ribosomal RNA
Source: RNAcentral
GUGGGGAAUAUUGGACAAUGGGCGCAAGCCUGAUCCAGCCAUGCCGCGUGAGUGAUGAAGGCCUUAGGGUUGUAAAGCUCUUUCAGUGGGGACGAUAAUGACGGUACCCACAGAAGAAGCCCCGGCUAACUUCGUGCCAGCAGCCGCGGUAAUACGAAGGGGGCUAGCGUUGUUCGGAUUUACUGGGCGUAAAGCGCACGUAGGCGGAUCGUUAAGUCGGGGGUGAAAUCCUGGAGCUCAACUCCAGAACUGCCUUCGAUACUGGCGAUCUUGAGUCCGGGAGAGGUGAGUGGAACUCCUAGUGUAGAGGUGGAAUUCGUAGAUAUUAGGAAGAACACCAGUGGCGAAGGCGGCUCACUGGUCCAGUACUGACGCUGAGGUGCGAAAGCGUGGGGAGCAAACAGGAUUAGAAACCCUUGUAGUCC